CGAAAACUACGCAAUGCGCGAAAGCGUGACGUGGGAACUCCAAGUGCCCUGCCUCGGGUAGGGCUUUUUUUCAGUGUAAGUAGCUAAACGAAUAAGUGCUGGGCAAGACCGGUGCCAGCCGCCGCGGUAACACGGGCAGCACAAGUGGUGACCGCUUUUAUUGGGCCUAAAGCGUCCGUAGCCGGUUCAGUAAGUCCUUGGGUAAAUCCUCCAGCUUAACUGGUGGAAUUCCGGGGAUACUGCUGGACUUGGAGUUGAGAGAAGUCAGAGGUACCUCUGGGGUAGGGGUGAAAUCCUAUAAUCCUGGAGGGACCACCAGUGGCGAAGGCGUCUGACUAGAGCAAGCUCGACGGUGAGGGACGAAAGCCAGGGGCGCGAACGGGAUUAGAUACCCCGGUAGUCCUGGCCGUAAACGCUGCGCGCUAGGUGUUACGUUCUCUACGAGGGAGCGUAGUGCCGAAGAGAAGUUGUUAAGCGUGCCGCCUGGGAAGUAUUACCGCAAGGUAGAAACUUAAAGGAAUUGGCGGGGGAGCACCACAAGGGGUGGAGUCUGCGGUUCAAUUGGAUUCAACGCCGGGAACCUCACCGGGAGAGACGGCAGAAUGAUGGCCAAGCUGAUGACUUUGCCUGACGAGCCGAGAGGAGGUGCAUGGCCGUCGUCAGCUCGUACUGUGAAGCGUCCUGUUAAGUCAGGCAACGAGCGAGACCCGUGCCCUUAGUUGCUAAUUUAUCCCAUUGGGAUAAGUGCACUCUAGGGGGACCGCCAGUGAUAAACUGGAGGAAGGUGCGGGCGACUAUAGGUCAGUAUGCCCCGAAUCUCCCGGGCUACACGCGGACUACAAUGGAUGGUACAAUGGGCUUCAACUCCGAGAGGAGAAGGUAAUCCUUAAAGCCAUCCCAAGUUCAGAUUGUGGGUUGCAACUCACCCACAUGAAGCCGGAAUCCCUAGUAAUCGCGUGUCAUCAUCGCGCGGUGAAUAUGUCCCUGCUCCUUGCACACACCGCCCGUCAAGCCACCCGAGUGGGGUUUGGUCGAGGCUAUGUCCUUUGGGUAUAGUCGAG
Molecule: ribosomal RNA, 1061 nt
Filed under: uncultured marine benthic group E euryarchaeote
Lineage: Archaea; Methanobacteriati; Candidatus Hydrothermarchaeota
Description: bacterial SSU rRNA
Rfam family: Archaeal small subunit ribosomal RNA
Source: RNAcentral